RNAcentral lists this ribosomal RNA (626 nucleotides) under fungal endophyte. RNAcentral describes it as "eukaryotic LSU rRNA". The stretch from base 145 to 298 matches the Rfam family "5.8S ribosomal RNA". The record is from RNAcentral. Lineage: Eukaryota; Fungi.
AUUAUGUGAAAGCAUUCUGCAUCAACCCUCUGUCUACCCAUACCAAACCGUUGUUCCUUCGGCGGGCUCGCCCGCCGGCUGGAACCCCCAUAAACUCUUGCAUCCCAGCAUUGAAAAAUCUCCGAUAACCACAAAUUUUAUCACAACUUUCAACAAUGGAUCUCUUGGUUCUGGCAUCGAUGAAGAACGCAGCGAAAUGCGAAAAGUAGUGUGAAUUGCAGAAUUCCGUGAAUCAUCGAAUCUUUGAACGCACAUUGCGCCCCUUGGUAUUCCUUGGGGCAUGCCUGUUCGAGCGUCAUUUCAAACCCUCAAGCCCAGCUUGGUGUUGGGUGUUUGUCCCCGCCCCCCUCGGGGUGGGGACUCGCCCCAAAGUCAUUGGCGGCCCGUCGUGCCGGCUUCUUGCGCAGCACAUUUGCGCCUCUCGAAGCCCCGGUGGAUGCGGCAUCCAGCGAAGCCCAUUUUUCUUGUUUGACCUCGGAUCAGGUAGGGAUACCCGCUGAACUUAAGCAUAUCAAUAAGCGGAGGAAAAGAAACCAACAGGGAUUGCCUCAGUAACGGCGAGUGAAGCGGCAACAGCUCAAAUUUGAAAUCUGGCUCCCUCUGGGGGUCCGAGUUGUAAUUUGCAG